UUCGCAAUGCCCGAAAGGGUGACGAAGCGACGCCGCGUGUGGGAAGAAGGCCUUCGGGUUGUAAACCACUGUCGGGAGUUAAGAAAUGCAAGAAUGUUAAUAGCGUUUUUGCUUGACUAAGGCUCCGGAGGAAGCCACGGCUAACUCUGUGCCAGCAGCCGCGGUAAUACAGAGGCGGCAAGCGUUGUUCGGAAUUAUUGGGCGUAAAGAGCACGUAGGCGGCUAUGUAAGUCGGUUGUGAAAACCUUCCGCUCAACGGGAGAACAGCAUCCGAUACUACAUGGCUUGAGUGCGGGAGGGGAGAGUGGAACUUCUGGUGGAGCGGUGAAAUGCGUAGAUAUCAGAAGGAACGCCGGCGGCGAAAGCGGCUCUCUGGCCCAUAACUGACGCUGAGUGUGCGAAAGCUAGGGGAGCAAACGGGAUUAGAUACCCCGGUAGUCCUAGCCGUAAAC
This 452-nucleotide ribosomal RNA is filed under the name uncultured bacterium. Its description in RNAcentral is "bacterial SSU rRNA". It matches the Rfam family "Bacterial small subunit ribosomal RNA", at positions 365 to 807 of the family's 1533-position model. The record is from RNAcentral.